Molecule: non-coding RNA, 30 nt
Filed under: Homo sapiens (human)
Lineage: Eukaryota; Metazoa; Chordata; Mammalia; Primates; Hominidae
Source: RNAcentral
UCGUGCACAUAAGAACCCACACCGGUGAGA